UCCGCAGUAGCUCAAUGGUAGAGCAGCCGGCUGUUAACCGGCUGGUUAUAGGUUCGAGUCCUAUCUGCGGAG
RNAcentral lists this transfer RNA (72 nucleotides) under Variovorax sp. Its description in RNAcentral is "tRNA-Asn". It matches the Rfam family "tRNA". Rfam says of the family: Transfer RNA (tRNA) molecules are approximately 80 nucleotides in length. Their secondary structure includes four short double-helical elements and three loops (D, anti-codon, and T loops). The record is from RNAcentral. RNAcentral also lists the same sequence under 1 other name. Lineage: Bacteria; Pseudomonadati; Pseudomonadota; Betaproteobacteria; Burkholderiales; Comamonadaceae.